GCACUUAGGAUCAAUAUUUUCAUUCCAGUAGUUUAGCUCAAUCCUCAAAAGAUGAACACGUAACCGAAAGCGGGCAACACUGUGUAAAAUAUGUGUGGGUAGAUCCAAAUGAAAAUAUUUGGGCAAACGAUAUGGGGAGAAGGUAGCAUGAGCGUCACGUUGUGGAAGGGCACACCAAUGAUAGUAGGUGAACGUUUUACUGUUCGUCUCAGGUUCCCGAGGCUGACGAGCUGUAAAAAAGGGUUGCUGCCAAAAUGCCAAAUGACGCUUCCGAAGAUCUAUAACAAGUUGACUCAGAUUCAGAGGACUGCCAUUGAGGAUAUGAUGGUGAUAAGACGGAGCAUGCUUGAGCCCUUGUGUGCCAAGCAAGAAGUGAGAAAUCCAGC
This 386-nucleotide long non-coding RNA is filed under the name Dunaliella salina. RNAcentral's name for it is "long non-coding RNA (DSAL_LNC000391)". The record is from RNAcentral. Lineage: Eukaryota; Viridiplantae; Chlorophyta; Chlorophyceae; Chlamydomonadales; Dunaliellaceae.